RNAcentral lists this long non-coding RNA (915 nucleotides) under Homo sapiens (human). RNAcentral describes it as "HSALNT0319778". Lineage: Eukaryota; Metazoa; Chordata; Mammalia; Primates; Hominidae. The record is from RNAcentral.
AGGCCUUAGAAGAAACCAGCCCCGGAACACUUUGAUCUUGGAUGUCUAGACUCCAGAACUAAAGAAAUUCGCUGCCAAACUCCGUAUUUGAGAUCCUGGACCUUCCACGCUGCCCACAUCAGGAGCUUUAGCCAGCAGCCUGGUCCUCAACUACAUGCUAAUCCCCGCCGGACCAUCGUUCAGUUUUAUUCACAGAAACGGUGCCUUCAAGAAAUCAAAGCAUAAGAGCCUUCGGAAGCAGCAUGUAAGUGCAACGUAACUUUCCCGAGUUUGGUGACGAUGAAUCGAUGAAUCGUAGACUGCAGGCUGAGCCGCCUGAGCUGGGAGCAGCAGCAGUUCUCAGGGAGCCACUGCCCCCUGGUGUCUCCACACUGGCCAGGAAGCAUUUUUGGUCAUGAUCUGUAAGAGAUUAUUGCUGGGCUCUUUCUGACUCGUGCCUUCAUCUCAUGGCUUUUAAAAUCAGACCUUUCUUCCUCCUCUCCCCCACUCUGAUUUUUAAUAAGACCCAUUUUAUUAUAAUUAGCAAAAUAGUGUAUACUCCUUGAAGAAAAUUUGAGUAUGAUUAUUUAAUUUCAUUAAUGUUUUAAUGUAUUUCCUCCCCCAAUUUUUUUUCUUUCUACGUAUAAGGAAAUCUAAUUUUACUUGGGGACAGAAGAAAAGCCACAAAAACUAUGAAACCUAAUUUUAUCAUAAAUGUCACAUAAACACGAUCCCCUGCACAGUAAGAAAACCAGUUUUUGAAUCUGCUAGAAUACUAAGAAACAGAGUUGAUGUUUCUCUCUUAAACAAUAUAAAACAUAAAGGAUAGCACUUUAGAUCAUAGGCCCUCAUAAAAUGUGCCUGUAGUUUCAAUACUAUGGAUUAAGAAUACUGGAGCGGGUUUUGGCCGGGCUCGGUGGCUCACGCCUGUAAUCC